ACAUAUCAUGUUGAAAUACUGGUCUUCGUAUGAUCACCAAAGUUAAGCAAUGUUGAGCCUGGUCACUACCUGGAUGGGUGACCUCUUAAGAAUAUCAGGUGCUGUAAG
Acanthosepion pharaonis is the source of this 108-nucleotide non-coding RNA. The record is from the annotation of a GenBank genome assembly. Lineage: Eukaryota; Metazoa; Mollusca; Cephalopoda; Sepiida; Sepiidae.